This is a long non-coding RNA of Zonotrichia albicollis (white-throated sparrow), 2697 nucleotides long. RefSeq lists it as uncharacterized. The record is from RefSeq and is a predicted model, not a curated record. Lineage: Eukaryota; Metazoa; Chordata; Aves; Passeriformes; Passerellidae.
AGAGAGGGAUGACUGGUAAAUACAAUGUCGACCUCAAUUUAGAACUGCAGAAAGAUAUGGCAUGCAGAGCAAAUAGAAAGCAUACAUCUUGCCUAGGGGAGAUAAAGAAAAACCAAGUACUGUUCACCACCCAUGAGAGGCUAAAGCAGCCAGUCAGUCCAAAUGCUGUGGAGCUGUUACACUUGACCUCUUAAGGCUGGGAGUGGAAGGUGGCCCUGAUAUUUUAUAAUGCACACUGCUUCAUGAGAAUCAACACCUCAACCUGUCUUAUGCCAUACAGACCAGAUUCCUCUAUUGCUACAUCAGGCAGUAAGACUUCAAAUUCCAUUUGACCAAACUGCAUGAUGCAGUACCAGAGAUGUAAAUCAGGCAACAGGAGCGGUUCAGAGUGAAUUUGCCAAGCUUCUGAACUGCAACUCCCAUCAAGCAGUACUUCAUUAUCAAGAAAUUACUGCUAUUAGGAAGUAAUGAAAUAAUUCAAAACCAAACAUUACAAAACAGCAUAUUUUUUCACUGUUAAUCAAUCAAAAUAUUUCAACUGUGGGAAUGUAAAAUAAUCCCAAAUACUGUAUAAAUAAUGUCAGAAUAAAAAGGCACUAUAAUAUUUCCAAUUAAAAUUUUCCAGGAUUGCUGUUGCACAGAAAGUAUCAGUACCUCCCUACUUCAAUCACAUUGCAAAACACAAGGAAAUGUCAAAACUGUAGCAUUUCUCAGUGAACAGGACCUUCACAUUUUGAGUCCAAGGCAAGAGUGAUCCUUUUAGGUGUACUAAUUGAAAGGCUCAUGGGCAGGCACAAAGUCAGAGGCUGCUUUCACAAACAAGGAGCACUGCUUUACGGGCAGCUGCAACAGAAGCAGUAACAGGACACGUCUGGCAGCAGAACCCACCCCUAGGUCAGUCAUGCUUUGAUGAAUUAUGCACCAUCAAUAAUCUUUAGAACAAGCAGGAUGUGACAGAUUCACCAGCUCCUCCAUUCCCUUUCCCUGCUGUUUAAUAGCAUCUGACAAAUGCAGGGCUGCUGGAUGAUGUGUUCUCAGCAUGCCCUGCUUUGCAUACCACCUCAGACCCAGGAAGGAUGUUCAGAAGCAAGAAGAAGGGGGAUAUUCUGCCCAGCACUGUGCCAAGAGGAGAACCUCUUUCACACUCCCCUCAGAGCAUCAUUUUCCUGAGGAACUGCAGUUGGAUGUUCUACAAUGAAUGUUCUACUCCUCCAUCCAUGCUAAGAGAGCACAGACAAUGCACAGAAGACCAGCACAUAGACAAGCACAGCAAAAUGGUCAAUCUGCUCCUCCAGUAGCUGAAAAACAAUUACAAAAAAACCCUGAGUAAAAAAAAAAGCUCAAAAUUAGGCUCAUUAUUUCUCUGAUGAAGAUAAAAAGUCUUCUCUGGUACAUUAAUAUGAACAGCCUUACAAGGAGUCAUUAUUACCCUUAGAAUACAGCACUGCAGCCAGUCCUGAGAGAAUGAAUCUUGCCAACAGCCAACACUUAAUGCCCACAGAGGCCCUGCAUGACCAAGCAAAGGCAAUGGCAGAUCUAAACAAGUGGUACCUUUGCUGUUAGAUGGUAAAAUGUCUUCUAAAACUACCCACUGUGCUCCAGCUCCAGUGAAUUUUCAUCCCUCCCUCACCAGAUAUCUUCUCCUGACCUGCCUAGGGGUAAAUUUUCAUGAUCAAUUUAAGCUGCUGCUGAAAGGGCCCAUCUAGCACCCUUCACCUUACUUGCAUAGCUACAUGUCUUAAGCUGAUAAUGCAACAAUACCUGGCACUCCCUCUUCCAUUUGCAGUCAGAUGGCCUCUGGUGCCAUCUAAGCCCUCUUCAAAGCCAUAUGACCCUCAUCUCCUUCACGGGAAUCACAACUUUUGUGGCACAGAGUCCUCCCAUGGAAGGUUAUGGACAUGAUGGAUGUCCCUCCAGCACAUGGGUGGCUGUCCUAGGCUCCUUUUGUAGCCCAAGGUGAGAAGCAGAGUCAAGCCUCAGAUAAGGCCCAUCGCUCUCCACUGUACACACUUCCAUCUUUGGUGCCUUAUCUUAUUCUAUCACAUUAUCUUGCCAUACACCUCAUCCACAAAUGACAAGUGGUUUUGUGGUUAAAUGUUAUGGAAGAAAAGCUCUUGAGCUACAUGAUUGUCACGUCUUCCAUGACAUCCUCCAAAACUUCUUUGACUCCUUUAGUAAGGCUCUGACUGUCCAUGCCAAGGCAAAGAGUCAGAGUCACUCCUUAGGUCACAGAUAUUUUCUCAGCCCCCAUUUCCCUCAUCAUUCACAGUGCUGCAGAUUUCUCAGCUAUCCCCUCACUAGCUGGCAGGUAAGGAACAGCUCAUGCUUGGUAUAGAAGGAUGUGUGUGUUUCCUGUGGGCUGACCGUCCAGCUGCAGGUUAGGAAAAGGGGAAACUUGAACUCCUAUUACUACUUUUUCUCCCUCUUGUCCCAGUGUAUUCCAUUCAGUUCCAAUGAAACCUGUGGGAAGUUAGUGUCUCUGUUAAGAAAGAUGGCACCAGUUCACAUUAUGUUUCCCUUCAGAAACAGGCUAAAAAGAAAGGAUGAGAAUGCCAUAUUGUGUUUCUAGAUGUGUAAUCCCGUGUCCCUGACACUUUUUGCUGGUGUGUGUAUUCCACCCAGGCUUUAUGGAGCCUGGAGGCAUGUCAAAGCAGAGGCUAUGCUCAUUGUAUAUUAAGCACACAAUGUAAAAAAGGA